Molecule: ribosomal RNA, 410 nt
Filed under: uncultured Pseudomonas sp.
Lineage: Bacteria; Pseudomonadati; Pseudomonadota; Gammaproteobacteria; Pseudomonadales; Pseudomonadaceae
Description: bacterial SSU rRNA
Rfam family: Bacterial small subunit ribosomal RNA
Source: RNAcentral
GACAUGCAGAGUAACCUUUCCAGAGAGUGGUAGUUGGUCGUCCGUUCGGGAACUCUGACACGAGGUGCUGCAGUGGCUGUCGUCAGCUCGUGUCGUGGGAUGUUGGGUUAAGUCCCGUAACGAGCGCAACCCUUGUCCUUAGUUACCAGCACGUUAUGGUGGGCACUCUAAGGAGACUGCCGGUGACAAACCGGAGGAAGGUGGGGAUGACGUCAAGUCAUCAUGGCCCUUACGGCCUGGGCUACACACGUGCUACAAUGGUCGGUACAAAGGGUUGCCAAGCCGCGAGGUGGAGCUAAUCCCAUAAAACCGAUCGUAGUCCGGAUCGCAGUCUGCAACUCGACUGCGUGAAGUCGGAAUCGCUAGUAAUCGUGAAUCAGAAUGUCACGGUGAAUACGUUCCCGGGCCUU